RNAcentral lists this ribosomal RNA (515 nucleotides) under uncultured Entrophospora. RNAcentral describes it as "SSU rRNA". It matches the Rfam family "Eukaryotic small subunit ribosomal RNA", at positions 569 to 1081 of the family's 1831-position model. Lineage: Eukaryota; Fungi; Glomeromycota; Glomeromycetes; Entrophosporales; Entrophosporaceae. The record is from RNAcentral.
AGCAGCCGCGGUAAUUCCAGCUCCAAUAGCGUAUAUUAAAGUUGUUGCAGUUAAAAAGCUCGUAGUUGAAUUUCGGGAUUGACGUGAUGGUCGUGCCUUACGGGGUAUGAACUGUUGCAGUCAAUUUCUCACCUUCUGGAGAAAUAUGAUGUCCUUAAUUGGGUGUCAUAUGGAACCAGAACUUUUACCUUGAAAAAUUAGAGUGUUUAAAGCAGGCUUAUUGCUCGAAUACAUUAGCAUGGAAUAAUAAAAUAGGACGGCAUGGUUCUAUUUUGUUGGUUUCUAGGAUCACCGUAAUGAUUAAUAGGGAUAGUUGGGGGCAUUAGUAUUCAAUUGUCAGAGGUGAAAUUCUUGGAUUUAUUGAAGACUAACUACUGCGAAAGCAUUUGCCAAGGAUGUUUUCAUUAAUCAAGAACGAAAGUUAGGGGAUCGAAGACGAUCAGAUACCGUCGUAGUCUUAACCNUAAACUAUGCCGACUAGGAAUCAGACGAUGUUAAUUUUUAAUGACUCAUUC